RNAcentral lists this long non-coding RNA (1212 nucleotides) under Citrus sinensis (sweet orange). RNAcentral describes it as "long non-coding RNA (CSIN_LNC001568)". The record is from RNAcentral. Lineage: Eukaryota; Viridiplantae; Streptophyta; Magnoliopsida; Sapindales; Rutaceae.
UUAAAUCUUUCUCAAUUUAUAAACAAUUGGGAGAUUCCAAAAAAAAUCAAAUUUAUCAUUCGCGCUCUCAUCAUUAUGAACGCCUUCAAAUCCUGAUUUCAAAUAAAUGGGGAAAAUCAUCUCUUUUCAAUAUAUGCGGAACUCGGAUCCUUCUCAGAAAUCAAAGCCCAAGAUUUCAAGUGCAUAAAUAUCUUAAACGUAUUAAGUCCAUUUGAAUUAUUGUUCUCAACUUAAGAGAAAGCGGUUAAGGUAAUUUUUUUUUCCCAAUUUUCUGAACACAUAAUCACAAUUAUUAUUAUUGUUAUUGUUUGCAAGAUUGUUUAACUUUGUUCCUUCCUUUUUUCUUUUUUUUUGGUAUUUUUCUCAACAGAUAAUCGACAUUAUUAUUCUUCUUAUUCUUCUUGUUUAGGAAUUGCAUAUUCUUGUUAAUAUUAUUUCGAAGUUGACUCUUAAUUGAGGCAGCCGCAAAACUAGUGUUAUUUCUCGUAGAAGAAAGUACAUUAUUUAUAGACUUUUACUACUCCCUUUUUCUUAACUUCGAUGCUUCAUUGAUAGAGUUGAGUUGGAUUAGACUAAAACAUUAACGGGGUGAAUAAAAUCUUAGUUUAUAUUGCACAGGGGUUCAAAUAUAAUUAAAUUUCGAGUAUGAUUUAAUCUGUCGAAUCCACAUCGAGGAGAAAUUGCUAAUUGGAUUUUACACCGUAAACACCGAGGUGGCUUUUGUUUCUUGACGCAGAAUGCUUUUUACUUGUUCUAUUUAGAUUUGCAGUUGCAGUUAUAUAUUAUUUGUAUGGUUAAUCGGGUUUGGUUAUCCUCGUGACGAUCGGAAUCUGGCCUAUUGGCUUCUUUUGGCUCCCCACUGAGGCUUUUUAAUGUGUCUCAUUUCAGCUUGAUUUCUUUUUUUUUUUUUAUAUUAAAUCAUCUGGUAUCCGAGGAUCAUAUUGAACUUCAACUAAUCCAGAUAUAUUAAAUCAUCUGGUAUCCGAGGAUCAUUAAAUCAUCUGGUAUCCGAGGAUCAUAUUGAACUUCAACUAAUCCAGAUUCGAGCUGCGUAGGACCAUUAAGGCGGCAAAACUCUCCAAACAAGUAUUUAACGCAGUUGCAUUCUCAAGUCUCAAAUCAAAUAUCUUAAUUAAGUUAGAACAUCAUCAUACCAGCUGAUCUAUGUGCUUGUUAGUGCUGUUGAAAAGUCAAGCAUGCAAUUGUUGAGUA